This 1293-nucleotide ribosomal RNA is filed under the name uncultured bacterium. RNAcentral's name for it is "bacterial SSU rRNA". It matches the Rfam family "Bacterial small subunit ribosomal RNA", at positions 55 to 1352 of the family's 1533-position model. The record is from RNAcentral.
AUGCAAGUCGAACGAGGUUAGAUUCGUCUAACCUAGUGGCGAACGGGUGAGUAACACGUAGGUAACCUGCCCUUCAGUUGGGAAUACCUAGAGGAAACUUUAGUUAAUACCGAAUAAUUACGAGGAAGGCAUCUUCCUUUUAUAAAAGUAGCAAUUGCUACGCUGAUGGUUGGACCUGCGGCGCAUUAGCUAGUUGGUAGGGUAACGGCCUACCAAGGCUCGGAUGCGUAGCCGACCUGAGAGGGUGAUCGGCCACAAUGGGACUGAGACACGGCCCAUACUCCUACGGGAGGCAGCAGUAGGGAGUUUUCGGCAAUGGGGGGAACCCUGACCGAGCAACGCCGCGUGAACGAUGAAGGUCUUCGGAUCGUAAAGUUCUGUUGUAGCUAGGGAAAGCACGGGAGAGUGGAAGCUCUCGUUUUGACCCAACUACCAGAAAGCCACGGCUAACUACGUGCCAGCAGCCGCGGUAAUACGUAGGUGGCAAGCGUUAUCCGGAAUUAUUGGGCGUAAAGAGUGAGCAGGCGGCCGUUUAAGUCUGAAGUCAAAUGCAGUGGCUUAACCACUGUCCGCUUUGGAAACUGGAUGGCUAGAGUACGAGAGAAGUAAGCGGAAUUCCAUGUGUAGCGGUGAAAUGCGUAGAUAUAUGGAGGAACACCAGAGGCGAAGGCGGCUUACUAGAUCGAUACUGACGCUCAGUCACGAAAGCGUGGGUAGCAAAUAGGAUUAGAUACCCUAGUAGUCCACGCCGUAAACGAUGAGAACUAGGUGUAGGGCCAAACCCUGUGCCGAAGCUAACGCAUUAAGUUCUCCGCCUGGGGAGUACGUUCGCAAGAAUGAAACUUAAAGGAAUUGACGGGGGCCCGCACAGCAGUGGAGCAUGUGGUUUAAUUCGAUGAUACGCGAGGAACCUUACCCGGGGUUGAAAUGCUGAUGGCGGUAUUUGGAGACAGAUACUUCCCUUCGGGGCGUCAGUGAAGGUGCUGCAUGGUUGUCGUCAGCUCGUGCCGUGAGGUGUCGGCUUAAGUGCCAUAACGAGCGCAACCCUUGCCGUUAGUUGCCAUCGGGUCAUGCCGGGCACUCUAUUGGGACUGCCAUCGUAAGAUGUGAGGAAGGUGGGGAUGACGUCAAAUCAGCACGGCCCUUAUGUCCGGGGCGACACACGUGUUACAAUGGGGGGUACAGUGGGAAGCUACCUGGCGACAGGUUGCGGAUCCCCAAAUCCUUUCUCAGUUCGGAUCGGAGUCUGUAACUCGACUCCGUGAAGUUGGAUUCGCUAUAAUCGCGCAUCAG